This 440-nucleotide ribosomal RNA is filed under the name uncultured bacterium. RNAcentral describes it as "partial 16S ribosomal RNA". It matches the Rfam family "Bacterial small subunit ribosomal RNA", at positions 338 to 795 of the family's 1533-position model. The record is from RNAcentral.
CCUACGGGUGGCAGCAGUGGGGCAUAUUGCACAAUGGGGGAAACCCUGAUGCAGCGACGCCGCGUUAGUGAAGAAGUAUCUCGGUACGUAACGCUCUAUCAGCAGGGAAGAAAAUGACGGUACCUGACUAAGACGCCCCGGCUAACUACGUGCCCGCAGCCGCGGUAAUACGUAGGGGGCAAGCGUUAUCCGGAUUUACUGGGUGUAAAGGGAGCGUAGACGGCAGCACAAGUCUGGAGUGAAAUCCCGGGGCGUAACCCCGGAACUGCUUUGGAAACUGUGCGGCUGGAGUUCAGGAGGGGUAAGCGGAAUUCCUAGGGUAGCGGUGAAAUGCGUAGAUAUUAGGAGGAACACCGGUGGCGAAGGCGGCUUACUGGACUGUAACUGACGUUGAGGCUCGAAAGCGUGGGGAGCAAACAGGAUUAGAUACCCCAGUAGUC